AUGGCCUACAAGGAGAAUGUGAACCCCGGCUUGUACGGCCUGCUUAAGAAUGGGGCCCCCGCCCCCCCCGCAGCCCAGCGGGUGCCCCUCAAGGACCCCGCCACCACGGGGACCCCCUCCGAUGCCCUCCUGCUGCAGAGAGCCACCGGCCGGCCUCCCCCCGUGCCAGGCAGAAGCCAGCUUCGGUUUCAGAAGAGUACAGGCCAUGGAGCUUGGAUCAGUUCACAGGGGAGAGAAGACAGCGCAGGGAGAGGACAGCCAAGUCCAGCAGGAGCUGAGGCCUUUCUGAGCAGAGGCCACAGCCCUCACAGCUCCCCCCCAGCCUCCUCAGCAACCCACAGCAGUGAUGAACGCUGUCCUCCUCCUCCUCCUCUCCAGAAGAUGCUCCGCGUGCAGCCCCAGAGACCACGCUCCCAGGGCCGUGUUUGCCUCCAGCUACAAGGGAACAGACGGUGA
Molecule: long non-coding RNA, 456 nt
Filed under: Anas zonorhyncha (Eastern spot-billed duck)
Lineage: Eukaryota; Metazoa; Chordata; Aves; Anseriformes; Anatidae
Description: lncRNA (ENSAZOG00000015318.1)
Source: RNAcentral